This 245-nucleotide ribosomal RNA is filed under the name uncultured Actinomycetales bacterium. RNAcentral's name for it is "partial 16S ribosomal RNA". It matches the Rfam family "Bacterial small subunit ribosomal RNA", at positions 88 to 334 of the family's 1533-position model. The record is from RNAcentral. Lineage: Bacteria; Bacillati; Actinomycetota; Actinomycetes; Actinomycetales.
UACUCGAGUGGCGAACGGGUGAGUAACACGUGGGUGAUCUGCCCUGCACUUCGGGAUAGGCUUGGGAAACUGGGGCUAAUACCGGAUAGGAGCUCCUGCUGCAUGGUGGGGGUUGGAAAGUUUCGGCGGUUGGGGAUGGACUCGCGGCUUAUCAGCUUGUUGGUGGGGUAGUGGCUUACCAAGGCUUUGACGGGUAGCCGGCCUGAGAGGGUGACCGGCCACAUUGGGACUGAGAUACGGCCCAG